UACAUAUAUAUAUAUAUAUAUAUAUAUACAUAUAUAUAUAUAUAUAUAUAUAUAUAUAUAUAUAUCAACACACAAUUGCUGGGUGCAUGUUCAUGUGCUUUUAUACCAACAUGUGAGAGCAAAAAUGUUCAGGGUUUUCUCAUGUAUUUAUAUUGACAUUUAAUGGAUUGAGGUAAAUUAUUCAAUUUUCAGACUUAUGAUCACUGAAUGCUGAUGUGGAAUAUUCUUAUUUCAUGCUGGUGUUACUUGUUAUCCAGUGAACCCAAGCUAAAGCUUACUUCAUUUAACCGGCAUGCUCACCGUUCAAGAAAAUAUGCACUUUAUAAUCCCACAAUACACACUGUCCCCACUGCCUGAGCCAACAUCACACUGUACUAUGAAUACUUUUUUUUUUUUUUUCAAAUCUUGUCCACAUCUCUGCCUCGUUGUGUUAAGCUCUCCACUGUCUGCACCUCACUCUUGUUUACAACAAGCACGAUGAGUGGAAAAAAUAAAUGAUUAUACUCAAA
Molecule: long non-coding RNA, 509 nt
Organism: Sebastes umbrosus (honeycomb rockfish)
Lineage: Eukaryota; Metazoa; Chordata; Actinopteri; Perciformes; Sebastidae
Exons: 2
Source: RefSeq, a predicted model, not a curated record